Molecule: ribosomal RNA, 293 nt
Filed under: uncultured bacterium
Lineage: Bacteria
Description: partial 16S ribosomal RNA
Rfam family: Archaeal small subunit ribosomal RNA
Source: RNAcentral
GUGCCAGCCGCCGCGGUAAUACCGGCAGCUCAAGUGAUGUCCCAUAUUAUUGGGCCUAAAGCGGCCGUAGCUGGCUGCGCAAGUCCGUCGGGAAAUCCACUCGCCCAACGAGUGGGCGUCCGACGGAAACUGCACAGCUUGGGACCGGAAGGCUCAGAGAGUACGUCCGGGGUAGGAGUGAAAUCCCGUAAUCCCGGACGGACUACCGAUGGCGAAAGCACUCUGAGAAGACGGCUUCGACAGUGAGGGACGAAAGCUAGGGUCUCGAACCGGAUUAGAAACCCCUGUAGUCC